Molecule: ribosomal RNA, 305 nt
Filed under: uncultured bacterium
Lineage: Bacteria
Description: bacterial SSU rRNA
Rfam family: Bacterial small subunit ribosomal RNA
Source: RNAcentral
CGAGACCUACGGGAGGCAGCAGUGAGGAAUAUUGGUCAAUGGUCGGGAGACUGAACCAGCCAAGCCGCGUGAGGGAUGAAGGCACAGAGUAUCGUAAACCUCUUUUGUCAGGGAACAAAGGCGGGGACGCGUCCCCGGAUGAGUGUACCUGAAGAAAAAGCAUCGGCUAACUCCGUGCCAGCAGCCGCGGUAAUACGGAGGAUGCGAGCGUUAUCCGGAUUUAUUGGGUUUAAAGGGUGCGCAGGCGGUCUGUUAAGUCAGCGGUCAAAGCCCGGGGCUCAACCCCUGCCCGCCGUUGAAACCGG